UACAGAGGGUGCGAGCGUUAAUCGGAAUUACUGGGCGUAAAGCGUGCGUAGACGGCUAUCUAAGUCGGGUGUGAAAGCCCCGGGCUCAACCUGGGAAUUGCAUUCGAGACUGAAUAGCUAGGGUACGGUAGAGGGAAGCGGAAUUUCCGGUGUAGCGGUGAAAUGCGUAGAUAUCGGAAGGAACAUCAGUGGCGAAAGCGGCUUCCUGGACCAGUACCGACGUUCAGGCACGAAAGCGUGGGAAGCAAACAGG
This 253-nucleotide ribosomal RNA is filed under the name uncultured bacterium. RNAcentral describes it as "partial 16S ribosomal RNA". It matches the Rfam family "Bacterial small subunit ribosomal RNA", at positions 524 to 776 of the family's 1533-position model. The record is from RNAcentral.